This 31-nucleotide non-coding RNA is filed under the name Mus musculus (house mouse). The record is from RNAcentral. Lineage: Eukaryota; Metazoa; Chordata; Mammalia; Rodentia; Muridae.
UGGGAUGAUCACCAAGAACAACAGCCUUAGU